This 646-nucleotide long non-coding RNA is filed under the name Homo sapiens (human). RNAcentral describes it as "HSALNT0195505". The record is from RNAcentral. Lineage: Eukaryota; Metazoa; Chordata; Mammalia; Primates; Hominidae.
CUAUCCACCAGCACUCCCCUGCGCUUCCCAAGUGAUUUAAUUAUCCAUUCUUUAACUGCAACUCGGUUAGCCCUGAAAUUUGGGUGAAGAGAAAUCAGACACAGCUGUCUGACAGAAGGGAUUGGAAAAUAGAAGGAAUUUAAAGCAAAAGGGUGGAUGUAGCUAUCAGUGGCAAGAAAAAUGCAGGGCAACUAAAAUAUUCCAGCAUGCAAACUUGAUCUCUUCGAUUGACUACCCCACCCAAAAGCUGUGCAGAAAGCCCCCUAGCACGUACACUGAUUUGGACUGGAAACUGGAGCCGCCGUCGCUGUGAAGAGAUGUGAAGUGACCAGACUUCCAUGUGUGAUGAUUAAUUUUAUGUGUCUACUGGACUAGGUUAAGGGAUGCCCAGAUGGCUGGUAAAACAUUAUUUCUGGGUAUGUCCGUGAGGGUAUUUCCAGAAGAGAUUAGCAUUUGAAUCGGUAGAUUGAAUAAUGUUUGCGGCAUCAGCACUCCUGGUUUGGGGGACUUAGGAUUCAGACUGGGACCUAUGCCAUUGGUUUCCCUGGUUCUCAGGCCUCUGGGCUUCAUUGGACUGGAACUAUACUACCAGUUUUCCUGGGUCUUCAGCUUGCAGAUGGCAGAUUGUGGAACUUCUCAGUCUUCA